CUCCUCCUCGAGGAGCCGCUCCUCGGCGAGGGCUAUGGUUUCCUUGGCCGCCCGCAGGAUCUCCACCGCCCGCUGGAACUCCUGAGUGGCCUUUUGGGCUUCAACCUGGGCCUGGAGUUCAGGGAGAAGGGACCUGACAACAGGAGCUGCAGCACAUCUCUGUCCUAUUACACACCGGUCUUUAUUGGAGCUGGUUAUUAUCCUGCUUGACGCAGCUCCACUAUACGGUCUAUGACCUCCACAUGGGAUUGACAGUUGGUUUCCUUCGCCCCCUGGUGGCGAGGACCCAGGAGCACAGCAGAGGGGUGGACAGCACAGUCGCUCUCGCAGCUUCCCUUCAUCAUGAGGCAAUGAAACACAGGCCUCCUGGACCCGUCUGACACACCACACAGAAAGAAAAACUGUUCAUAAUCUCCUGCAAAUUCUCAAAUAGUGGAUGAGCCACAUUUUUGCUCAGCUGAGAGGAGCCUUUAUCAUAUUGGACACAUGCCUUUAUUUUGAAAGACAAAAAAGUCACAGUAAACUCUGUAAUAAAUUUAAUGAAAAUGAAAAACAGUCUUUCUCUUUGGUAAAAGGAUUUUACUCCUUAUAUUGAGGUCCACUUAACACUUGUUAUGAAGCUUUCUACUGAGCUGCAGUCAUCCUCCACUCAAAGCUCCACAGAAACUGGAUCUUGAAUGAAAGGUCACCUGCUGUUUCUUAGUUCAAGAAUGAGGUCAUCUCAAAUAACAGCUCCAUAUACAGUAUUUUCAAAUUGGAGCUGGAUGGAUGCAUAGAAUGUACGAGUUUCAGAUCUGUCACGCUGCAUACUGGCAUAGGCAGGGUAUUGUUUUCAACCCUGUGUGUGUGUGUGUGUGUGUGUGUGUGUGUGUGUGUGUGUGUGUGUGUGUGUGUGUGUGUGUGCGUGUGUGUGUGCGUGUUGGUCCAAAACAAUAUUGUUCUUUCUCUGAUUAAACAUCAUUCUGAACGUGUAUGUAACACAAUGCAAUAGAAGUGAAAACACAGUGUCUAACAUACAUGAAAAGGUGUAUCACUGUUUAAAGCAUGUAUGCAAAAAGAAAUGGUUCACGUAAGUUGUAGUGUAUAGUAAACUGUAAACUUUCUAAAUCAUGGUUCUUCCACCUAGAAAUAUCAGUUAAUUCAAAGCUGUUGUCUCACAUACAGGAUUAGAGAUGCUUAUACAUGCUUUGAUUUCCUCCUGUAUUGACUGCAAUG
Long non-coding RNA from Hippoglossus stenolepis (Pacific halibut), 1215 nucleotides. RefSeq lists it as uncharacterized. Lineage: Eukaryota; Metazoa; Chordata; Actinopteri; Pleuronectiformes; Pleuronectidae. The transcript is spliced from 4 exons. The record is from RefSeq and is a predicted model, not a curated record.